This 487-nucleotide ribosomal RNA is filed under the name uncultured Corynebacterium sp. RNAcentral's name for it is "partial 16S ribosomal RNA". The record is from RNAcentral. Lineage: Bacteria; Bacillati; Actinomycetota; Actinomycetes; Mycobacteriales; Corynebacteriaceae.
CACGUAGUUAGCCGGUGCUUCUUAUCCAGGUACCGUCACCAAAAGGCUUCUUCCCUAGCGAAAGGAGUUUACAACCCGAAGGCCUUCAUCCCCCACGCGGCGUCGCUGCAUCAGGCUUGCGCCCAUUGUGCAAUAUUCCCCACUGCUGCCUCCCGUAGGAGUCUGGGCCGUGUCUCAGUCCCAAUGUGGCCGUACACCCUCUCAGGCCGGCUACCCGUCGUCGCCUUGGUAGGCCAUUACCCCACCAACAAGCUGAUAGGCCGCGGGCUCAUCUUGCACCGAAAAACUUUCCACCACACACACUAAAGCAUGGUCCUAUCCGGUAUUAGACCCAGUUUCCCAGGCUUAUCCCGAAGUGCAAGGCAGAUCACCCACGUGUUACUCACCCGUUCGCCACUCGAGUACCUCUGCAAGCAGAGGCCUUUCCGUUCGACUUGCAUGUGUUAAGCACGCCGCCAGCGUCGUCUCGAGCCACGGAGUCAACUAC